UAGAUCUUCUAUUCAGUCCUGGAUCAAAUCUACCAUGGAAAGUACCCUUUACCAAAAUCAACCACGGAGAUAUUAAAGGAAACCCAGGAGAAAUUUUAUGGACUGCCCUAUGUACAAAACACGGCAUGGCAACUGCGCUUUAGCCACCUUGUUGGAUAUGGUGCCAAGUAUUACUCCUAUCUAAUGUCAAGAGCAGUAGCGUCCAUGGUUUGGAAGCAAUGUUUCAUGAAGGACCCACUUAACAGGAUUAUGGGAGACCGCUAUCGCAGAGAGAUGUUGGCGCACGGUGGUGGAAAAGUGCCUAUGUUCAUGGUUGAAGAUAUGCUUCAGAAGAAACCAUCAAUGGAUGACUUUGUUGAUGCCUUAGUGACAGAUCUGGAUUUAAACUUUGAAACAUAAUUGAUGGACUCAGAGUAAUUGAUACAUAAGUCUGCAUGUUGUUUGAAUUGCAUCAGCAUUCAUGACAUAAUGCUGUAUGUGUGUAUAUAUUGUGAUUUAUAGACAUAAUUUCAAUGUCAUUUUGUAGUGAUUGGAGCUUAAUUUAACUUGUAAUUUUCAUUAAAGUAUAUGUUACUUUUUAAA
Rhincodon typus (whale shark) is the source of this 582-nucleotide long non-coding RNA. RefSeq lists it as uncharacterized. The record is from RefSeq and is a predicted model, not a curated record. The transcript is spliced from 4 exons. Lineage: Eukaryota; Metazoa; Chordata; Chondrichthyes; Orectolobiformes; Rhincodontidae.